UCGAGAAUCUUCGGCAAUGGACGCAAGUCUGACCGAGCGACGCCGCGUGCGGGAUGAAGGCCUUCGGGUUGUAAACCGCUGUCGUAGGGAAUCAAGUGUAUGAGGGUACUCCCUUGUAUUUGAGAGAUCCUAGGAGGAAGGGGAGGCUAAGCUCGUGCCAGCAGCCGCGGUAAGACGAGCUCCCCAAACGUUAUUCGGUAUUACUGGGCUUAAAGAGUUCGUAGGCGGCUCUGUAGGUGAGAUGUGAAAGCCCUCGGCUUAACCGAGGAACUGCGUUUCAAACCACAGGGCUUGAGGGAGAUAGGGGUAAGCGGAACAGAUGGUGGAGCGGUGAAAUGCAUUGAUAUCAUCUGGAACACCGGUGGCGAAGGCGGCUUACUGGGUCUUUUCUGACGCUGAGGAACGAAAGCUAGGGUAGCGAACG
RNAcentral lists this ribosomal RNA (424 nucleotides) under uncultured bacterium. RNAcentral's name for it is "bacterial SSU rRNA". It matches the Rfam family "Bacterial small subunit ribosomal RNA", at positions 355 to 774 of the family's 1533-position model. The record is from RNAcentral.